This 429-nucleotide ribosomal RNA is filed under the name uncultured bacterium. RNAcentral's name for it is "bacterial SSU rRNA". It matches the Rfam family "Bacterial small subunit ribosomal RNA", at positions 355 to 776 of the family's 1533-position model. The record is from RNAcentral.
UGGGGAAUAUUGGACAAUGGGGGAAACCCUGAUCCAGCGAUGCCGCGUGUGUGAAGAAGGCCUGAGGGUUGUAAAGCACUUUAGUUGGUGAGGAGAGGCUUGGUGCUAAUAGUACCAAGCGGAGACGUUAGCCAAAGAAUAAGCACCGGCAAACUCUGUGCCAGCAGCCGCGGUAAUACAGAGGGUGCAAGCGUUAAUCGGAAUGACUGGGCGUAAAGAGCUCGUAGGCGGUUGGGUGUGUCACAGGUGAAAGCCCCGGGCUUAACCUGGGAAGGUCCUGUGAAACUAUCUAACUAGAAUAUAGGAGAGGGAAGUGGAAUUUCCGGUGUAGCGGUGAAAUGCGUAGAUAUCGGAAAGAACACCAGUGGCGAAGGCGACUUUCUGGCCUAAUAUUGACGCUGAGGAGCGAAAGCGUGGGGAGCAAACAGG